Molecule: ribosomal RNA, 375 nt
Filed under: uncultured bacterium
Lineage: Bacteria
Description: bacterial SSU rRNA
Rfam family: Bacterial small subunit ribosomal RNA
Source: RNAcentral
GUAGUCCACGCCGUAAACGAUGAGUGCUAGGUGUUGGGGGGUACCACCCUCAGUGCCGAAGCUAACGCAUUAAGCACUCCGCCUGGGGAGUACGGUCGCAAGACUGAAACUCAAAGGAAUUGACGGGGGCCCGCACAAGCAGUGGAGCAUGUGGUUUAAUUCGAAGCAACGCGAAGAACCUUACCAAGACUUGACAUCCCGCUGACCGCUCUAGAGAUAGAGUUUCCCUUCGGGGCAGCGGUGACAGGUGGUGCAUGGUUGUCGUCAGCUCGUGUCGUGAGAUGUUGGGUUAAGUCCCGCAACGAGCGCAACCCCUAUGUUGUGUUGCCAUCAUUUAGUUGGGCACUUACAACAGACUGCCGGUGACAAACCGGA